This 41-nucleotide unclassified non-coding RNA is filed under the name Leishmania tarentolae. RNAcentral describes it as "guide RNA". Lineage: Eukaryota; Euglenozoa; Kinetoplastea; Trypanosomatida; Trypanosomatidae. The record is from RNAcentral.
AACAUUAUAAAAUAACACAAAAAUAGUUUAGGAUCAAAUAC